Molecule: ribosomal RNA, 489 nt
Filed under: Cladosporium sp. CX-2011a
Lineage: Eukaryota; Fungi; Ascomycota; Dothideomycetes; Cladosporiales; Cladosporiaceae
Description: eukaryotic LSU rRNA
Rfam family: 5.8S ribosomal RNA (bases 134-287)
Source: RNAcentral
GGGAUGUUCAUAACCCUUUGUUGUCCGACUCUGUUGCCUCCGGGGCGACCCUGCCUUCGGGCGGGGGCUCCGGGUGGACACUUCAAACUCUUGCGUAACUUUGCAGUCUGAGUAAACUUAAUUAAUAAAUUAAAACUUUUAACAACGGAUCUCUUGGUUCUGGCAUCGAUGAAGAACGCAGCGAAAUGCGAUAAGUAAUGUGAAUUGCAGAAUUCAGUGAAUCAUCGAAUCUUUGAACGCACAUUGCGCCCCCUGGUAUUCCGGGGGGCAUGCCUGUUCGAGCGUCAUUUCACCACUCAAGCCUCGCUUGGUAUUGGGCAACGCGGUCCGCCGCGUGCCUCAAAUCGACCGGCUGGGUCUUCUGUCCCCUAAGCGUUGUGGAAACUAUUCGCUAAAGGGUGCUCGGGAGGCUACGCCGUAAAACAACCCCAUUUCUAAGGUUGACCUCGGAUCAGGUAGGGAUACCCGCUGAACUUAAGCAUAUCAAUA